GUUCAUAAAACCUGAGAUUUGAGAUCUUGUAGCUGUUUAGAUAUCUGCACUUAAUUUUGUAUCUACUAUACUUGAUAUUCAGAAAGUAUUUAAUCAGUCAUUUUUAAUGUUAAAAGUAUCAAAACAGAUUGCACAACUGAGUAAUAAUAAAGACCAAUAAUGAUCAUAGAUCAUACAUGAUAAGGAGACUCUCCAAAGAAUAACUAUCAAUAAAAUGGACAAAGGUAUGGAAUAUUAUAUUAUAAUUGCAAAUAGAUAACUAUAUUAUUUUUAAUAGUAAGAUGGUAUUUUCAGUCAACCCUGUGUCUGCAAUGUAACUUUUAAUUUCUUUUAUGGUAUAUAGUACUGCAGGUAGUUAAUGACUCAGUGAGUGUUUGUGAAAUGAAUGUUACAGUCAGGCUGUUUGCAGACAUAAUUAGCUUAGGUGAAGGCAAUGUUUGGUGGCAUUUAACUUUGUGACUUAAUAAUUCAUUGUAUCAUCAAAUAAAUACCAUCUUUAUUAUAUGUUUGGGAUGAUUGUGAGGACAUUCAAGGGAGAGACUGAAACUUAGUUAAACCCAUUCUCUGAAGAUAGUACAAGUUUCAGUUUGGGGUCAUAGCAUUUCUUCUCAAAUACAAUAUGAUCUCCUAAAAAGAGAUAGACCACAUAUGCAUUUUUUUUUCCAGUUUAGUAUCAUUGCUCAUUAUCAGUUGGUGGGCAUGGGAGCAACUUAAUAAAGUUUGGGUAAUUUAGUUUUCAGUUUAAAUUCUCAACUGAACUGGCAAUUGGCCGAAAAUUCACAUCUGAAGAAGGAAGCACCCACUUGCAUUUUGUGAUCUGGUUACUGUCUACUUGAUGUAGGAAGGCACCAUCGAGAAUAAUGGAGUGACUAGCAUCAAAAGAAGAGCAAUGUAUUUCAGAAAUUAUGCAUGGAGAACUCCGAAUUCUUCAUUGAUAAAAAGUAUAUACAGGCAUUUUAAGGAUAAUCUUAAACUCCCCCACCACAAGAAGACUGUAGCGGUUCCUCCCGCUCCAAGAACCAUCUGCAGGUCUUUUUCAAUGUUCUUGGAGGUGGCUGAGAGCUUGCUCAGCUUGUGUCAGCCACCUUGUUCUCUGCAGAUGGGGAAUAAUCAAGCUUAUCUAAUCAACUAUUGAAUACGUGGAGAACUGUGACAACAUAAUAAUAAUAAGUAAACGCGUUUCCUACCGCUUGUAAUUCAGUCCAUGGAAAAUGUGUGCUGAAGAGUUGUGCAGGGGAGCA
This is a long non-coding RNA of Microtus ochrogaster (prairie vole), 1241 nucleotides long. RefSeq lists it as uncharacterized. The record is from RefSeq and is a predicted model, not a curated record. The transcript is spliced from 4 exons. NCBI's taxonomy places the organism in Eukaryota, Metazoa, Chordata, Mammalia, Rodentia, Cricetidae.